RNAcentral lists this unclassified non-coding RNA (253 nucleotides) under uncultured Dehalococcoidia bacterium. RNAcentral's name for it is "contains 16S-23S intergenic spacer region". It matches the Rfam family "Bacterial small subunit ribosomal RNA", at positions 524 to 776 of the family's 1533-position model. The record is from RNAcentral. Lineage: Bacteria; Bacillati; Chloroflexota; Dehalococcoidia.
UACGUAGGUGGCGAGCGUUGUCCGGAUUUACUGGGCGUAAAGGGCGUGCAGGCGGUCUGCUAAGUCUAGGGUGAAAGCUCCCGGCUCAACUGGGAGAGGUCCUUGGAUACUGGCGGACUUGAGGGAGGCAGAGGAGAAUAGAAUUCCCGGUGUAGUGGUGAUAUGCGUAGAUAUCGGGAGGAAUACCAGUGGCGAAGGCGGUUCUCUGGGCCUUUCCUGACGCUGAGACGCGAAAGCGUGGGGAGCAAACCGG